CCUACGGGAGGCAGCAGUGGGGAAUAUUGGACAAUGGGCGAAAGCCUGAUCCAGCCAUGCCGCGUGUGUGAAGAAGGCCUUCGGGUUGUAAAGCACUUUCAGUGGGGAAGAAAGCCUUGGGGCUAAUACCCUCGAGGAAGGACAUCACCCACAGAAGAAGCACCGGCUAACUCCGUGCCAGCAGCCGCGGUAAUACGGAGGGUGCGAGCGUUAAUCGGAAUUACUGGGCGUAAAGCGCGCGUAGGCGGUCUGAUAAGCCGGUUGUGAAAGCCCCGGGCUCAACCUGGGAACGGCAUCCGGAACUGUCAGGCUAGAGUGCAUGAGAGGAAGGUAGAAUUCCCGGUGUAGCGGUGAAAUGCGUAGAGAUCGGGAGGAAUACCAGUGGCGAAGGCGGCCUUCUGGACUGACACUGACGCUGAGGUGCGAAAGCGUGGGUAGCAAACAGGAUUAGAUACCCUUGUAGUC
RNAcentral lists this ribosomal RNA (465 nucleotides) under Vreelandella stevensii. Its description in RNAcentral is "partial 16S ribosomal RNA". It matches the Rfam family "Bacterial small subunit ribosomal RNA", at positions 338 to 795 of the family's 1533-position model. Lineage: Bacteria; Pseudomonadati; Pseudomonadota; Gammaproteobacteria; Oceanospirillales; Halomonadaceae. The record is from RNAcentral.